GGCCUUUAUGUAUAACCCGACCAAUCCAUGAGAGGAUUAGGGUCCGCAGUUACGUAACACAAACACGGCACUAUAAAACCCCAACCAGGAUUUCAUUUUCAACCAUUCUCAUCAUUUGCAGAAACCGCUAACCCUAGCGAUAACAAAAACGUUCGUUAUCGAACAUGAGAGCUAAGUGGAAGAAGAAGCGCAUGAGGAGGUUGAAGAGAAAGCGCAGAAAGAUGAGACAGAGAUCCAAGUAGGUACACUAGCACAACCAAGAAGAGCUUACCCUUCUGUUUUUUACCAGGUGGUCACAACUUUGAUCACAACCUACAUUCCUGCUCAUGCUAUCAAUAUUAUACGCGCAUCGACAAGAUAUAUAUUAUAUGCCUUUAUUACUAUUAUAUAUUAUAUUACUGUAAUAUAUUAAAUAUUAUAUAUUCUUGUUAUAUAUUAUAUUAUAAAUUGUUCUGGAUACUUUUAUAUAUUA
Non-coding RNA from Lupinus albus (white lupine), 472 nucleotides. The record is from the annotation of a GenBank genome assembly. Lineage: Eukaryota; Viridiplantae; Streptophyta; Magnoliopsida; Fabales; Fabaceae.